UAUAUAUAUAUAUAUAUAUAUAUAUAUAUAUAUAUAUAAAGGUGAGUUUUGAGGGAUUUCUUUGAACUUAAUACCCAAAAGAAUGAAAGUAAAAGGUGUUAAAACUGGUAUAAAAUGACAAAAUUUAAAAAAAAAAUAAUUAGGAUCUUGUUGAAUAUAUUAAAAACUCAUGCAAACAUUCGUGCAAAUAUAAGAUAGACUGAGUGUAUCUCUUAUCUCAUGGACACAAAAAAAGCCAAACCUAUAUGAACAUAUUAUGAUAUGAAACGUAUUCCAGAGUGUUUGUUUUUGGUUUAGCUCAGAGUUUGGUUCAUUUGAUCCAUCAGAUAAAUGCUAAUGGAGGCUCAGUUACCUGAAGUUUAAUGAAGCAGGAUCAGCAAAACCAAAACUCUUGAGCGAGUUUCUGACUAGAGAGGAACUGAUUUAGGUGCAGAGAUGUCUGAGCUUGUUAAAUUUAGAGCGAUGUAUACAGAAGGGACCCGAGUUCAUGUUUAGAUGUAUGAAUAUCCACUUUAUUAGCUCCACCCUGCUAAAGCUAACGUGUUCUAACGCAACCAUCUGGCAAUAAAUGGUCCGUCAUGAAAGUUCCAGUCAGAGCCAUCAGCUGGUUUUUAGAGGAUUAAUUAUACACUGAUUGCAUCGAUCGUUUGUGGUUCUGUUGAACACACUGACGGGUGUUUCUGUUAUUUCAUCCAUCAACUUCAUAUCAAUGAGGCAAGCUUAAAUACCAGAAACACCAGUCAGUGUAACUAAAUUCUCUAUAAAACAGCUGAAACCUUCAUACAGGAGGAUUUAUUGGAGGACUGUUGUGUUAAACAUGCAGGUUUUUGCUGGUUGGAGUGAAUAAAUGUUGUGUUUUUGUUAUUUUAGGAGUCAGAUUAUUGGGUUGAUUUUCAUCUAGUGGUGACCAGGUGUAAAUCAGAAGCUCUUUAGAGGAAUGAGUUGGUAAAUUACAAGUAAAUUCAAAAAGACUAAGACUCCUGAAGAUCUCGUUUAAAACAGCAGACCUAAACAUGAAGCCAGUGUGUUAAUUAAUGUUGUUUUUGGUGUUUUAAAGUGGGGUUUUUUUGCUGUUUCUGAAUGAGUUUACAACCCGCAAUAGAAAAAUAAAGCCAGAAAUCAGCUUUUGCUAUGUGGAUGAACCUUUGAAAACACACCGAAGAACCCAUUGGUUCUAGUAGAUGAUCCAGAACCAAUGAUUCUGGUGGAGGAACCUUUGAAAACUCAGCUCGCUGGGUUUUCAAAGGUUCCUCCACCAGAAAGCUCUCACCGCUUUAUUUUCCAUUGAAAGGUUCAGCUCUGGAAUCAUCUCUAAUCGUAUAAUUGCAAGUGUUUGCUUUGAAACCCAGCAAGGAGGUUGGAUAUUUCCAGUUCACAUAAUCCGGAGGAGAGCCAGUAAAUAAGAGCGUGUUCGAGGUGUUGAUUGAUUGAGUCGGCUGGUCAUGCAGCGAUACAGGAGAUUAAUCCAGUGAAAGUCAUCCAUCAACAAAAUACAGACACAAUGAGGAUGUAAACACGAAUGUUUCAUCGGAUGUUCACUUUCUAACCUUUAAUACAUAAAAGCUGCAGUCCAUGACUUAAACACCACUACACCAAGUAACACUCAGUUUCUCAGCCCUGGUGUCCUUCUAUAAUCUUUGCUGGCUUCCUUCCAGCUGUUUUCGCUUCGUCUUUAUCCUCCCCGCCUUUAUUUCCCAUCAUGCUUGGCGCUGUUUGUUUAAAUCCUCAGUAGAGAUGUGUGAGAGCUGACAGAGGAGGGAAAAGUUGAAGGCGGCAAGAUGCAGCACGCAGGAACGAGCUGGAGAGGUGAAGGUGGAAAAGCAAAGAAGGAGAAAAAGGGCGGGAAGGUGGUGACAUUCUUUGAGUUUUGGAGGGAAAGCUUGCUUCGGGGCGGAGCUGCUCGGAUGUUUUAGUUUUUGUUUUUUGUUUUUGUUUUUUUAAUUUUAGCCACAAUUGGAUUGGAUUAAAUUAAAGCUUCUUCAGUUCAUCAGAGCACCUAACUUUCAUCUGGGAAAAAAAAGCAAGCAAACGGCUUUUUGUCUUAUUUGAAGUUGAGCUUUUUCAGCCGGAUCACGCUUUUUGUUUCUCGAGUAUUUCAUCGUCCGAUCUCACAUGAUUCCUUCCUGUGCUUCGUGUGAUUCCUGUGUGAUCUCAGACUUCAUCAUGUACUGAUCUCCAGUGGGAAAAGUAUUUAUUUUAUUUUUAAAAAAGGAAAGAACACCUGAGUAACUGGAGCUGAAGAUCAUAGCUGGUCUGCAAGUCACACAUUCAAAAGCUCAGUGACUUUUUUUUUUGCUGUUUUGUGCGUUUUCUUCCACAAAACGCCCCCAAAAAAGUCUUUCAAACAUGUUAAAGUCUCCGGUUUGGGAUAACACACAGCACAGAAUGUAUUAAAACCAACAUGUAGGUAUGAUGUGUUCGAGAACAACGCGAGCAGCCUGUAAAUAGUACCGUUCUAUGCUGUAAACAAUUUGUGACAUUUUGUUUGUUUGUUUGGAUUAUAUAAGGGGUUUUAUUUCUCGUUAUGAUUAUUGUUUUCACAGAUGUUUUGUUUUAUGUUUACAGAAACUGUCUCGCCUUAAUUCAAUUCCUGUACAAAACCAAAAAAAAAAAAAAAAAAAAAAAAAAAAAGAUGAAUGUCCCCUCGCUGAAAUCAUUCUCACAGCAAAGUAAAAGCCAUAUAAGUUGUGGAAGUAUUUUCCUAAAAGUCCUGUUUGUUGUGUUUUUAUUUAAGUUCUUACCCUCAGGCCUCUGUUUGAAUGGUUCAAACUCAGGAAACGACCAAUCAGAGGCUGCGUUUGUUCAAACCGUCCAAUCAGAGACGUGGCUUUGGCAGGUGUGUCUGGAUGUGAUCUACAGCUUAAAGCUUUAGGAGGAGGGUUCAGUCUGUCCUCACCUGCCACACCUGAGAGAACACACACACACACACACACACACACACACACACACACACACACACACACACACACACACACACACACACACACACACACACACACACACACACACACACAGUCCUCCUGUUUCUCUUUGAGCUCAGGGUUUGAACUACAGGAGUUUUUUAUUCCUCAGAGCCCCAAAGCCUGCUGUCAGGUUUCAUGUUUUCUUUUUUCCUUUUUUUUUUCUUAAAAACUAAAUUGAUGCAAUUUAGAAACAAGAAACUGUAAAAAUUUGAAAAUAAAAUUAAAAUCAUUGGCGUUUCAACUUUCCAAUAGUCAAUAAAAUAAAAAAAAUCCAUGAGUGACCAGUGGUUGCCAAAAAUUCUAGAACGUUUUCAGGUGAACUGCAGGCUGUGUGGAGAAAAAGCAGAAUUUAUAAAACUGCAAAUAUUCCUAGACAAGUUCUCUGAAUUCCAAAAUCCACAUUCAGGUUUUAUUUUUUUAAUUACAACCAAAAUCACACCAUUUACCAACUCAAAUCUGUAACAACAGAAAAGAUCUGUACAAGUUUAUCUUUCCGACGGUCCUUGAACGUAUCAUCAGAUUCACUGGGAAAAAUCUGCUUAAAAUUGCAAUAUUUCAUCAAGAAUGUCUUUAUUCUACAUGUUGCAUUUUAAAAAUUAUUGAAAAACAAACCAUUUGCACCAGAUUGUGUAAAAAUAAAUAAAAUAGAAUAAAAUUCUACAUGGCUCAGCUCUACUGAGAAUCAGUUCCUGACCUAGUUGUGACAAAAACACUGAGAGAGUCUGUAAAGGUUGUAAAAAUGUAAAUACACCUAAAACCCACAGUCAGCAGGUUUUCUUUUUUGGAAAAAAAACAGCCAAAUAAUACAAUUUUAUCAGCCAAAAAUUGCAAAAAAUCUCUGCAUUUUCAAUUUUCCAAUGGUCCUUGAACAUAUCAUCUGUAACAUGCAGCUUCAUCAGGAAAAAAUCUGCUUCAAAUCACAGUAUUUCUUCAGAAUCUCUUUAUUCCGUGUAUCUCUUUUUUUUUUAAAUCUCCAAAAAUAAACCAUUUUAAACCAUUGUAUAGUAUGUAUUGCAUGUUUAACUUGGCAGUCACACGAGAAAAACAUUCAGACUUCUCGGCUGAACUGCAGGCAGUGUUCACACAAAAUAGAGAGGAAAAAACUAAACUAUACUGGAUCAACAGUAAUAAAUGCAUCAUGGCUAAAAACCAGAGGAGCAGGCUGUUGGGGUUUGCAUUCAGCGGUGAAACAUCUUUCUAAUGUGCAGCCUAGCUGGAAAAAACAGGUUUGUGGAGGUUGUA
Molecule: long non-coding RNA, 4205 nt
Organism: Amphiprion ocellaris (clown anemonefish)
Lineage: Eukaryota; Metazoa; Chordata; Actinopteri; Pomacentridae
Source: Ensembl